UACGGAGGGUGCGAGCGUUGUUCGGAUUUAUUGGGCGUAAAGAGCUCGUAGGCGGUUCAGUAAGUCGGGUGUGAAAACUCUGGGCUCAACCCAGAGACGCCACCCGAUACUGCUGUGACUUGAGUACGGUAGGGGAGUGGGGAAUUCCUGGUGUAGCGGUGAAAUGCGCAGAUAUCAGGAGGAACACCAGUGGCGAAGGCGCCACUCUGGGCCGUAACUGACGCUGAGGAGCGAAAGCGUGGGUAGCAAACAGG
RNAcentral lists this ribosomal RNA (254 nucleotides) under uncultured bacterium. RNAcentral's name for it is "partial 16S ribosomal RNA". It matches the Rfam family "Bacterial small subunit ribosomal RNA", at positions 524 to 776 of the family's 1533-position model. The record is from RNAcentral.